Molecule: small nuclear RNA, 197 nt
Organism: Musa acuminata AAA Group (dessert banana)
Lineage: Eukaryota; Viridiplantae; Streptophyta; Magnoliopsida; Zingiberales; Musaceae
Product: U2 spliceosomal RNA
Exons: 1
Source: RefSeq, a predicted model, not a curated record
AUACCUUUCUCGGCCUUUUGGCUAAGAUCAAGUGUAGUAUCUGUUCUUAUCAGUUUAAUAUCUGAUACGUGGAUCAUCGAUCCACUAUGAUAUUAAAUUAAUUUAUUGUGGGGGAGGGCUCAUCACAGUGGCUUGCCACUAGGGCUCUUGCGUGUCGCCUAGGCAUUGCACUAUUGCCCAGGCCUGGCACACCCCGA